GGCGAGGGCAGCCCCCCACACCCCACCCCACUCCGGGCUGUGCGCCUGGGGAAACGGAAGGAGCAGGCAGCGUCGCCUUUGCUCAAGACGCAGAUGCCACCGCAGACCUACUGUGAGGAGCCCUGUUCUUCCGUUUCCCGCCCCUACAUGGAUGGGAGGCCU
Phyllostomus discolor (pale spear-nosed bat) is the source of this 162-nucleotide long non-coding RNA. RefSeq lists it as uncharacterized. The record is from RefSeq and is a predicted model, not a curated record. Lineage: Eukaryota; Metazoa; Chordata; Mammalia; Chiroptera; Phyllostomidae. The transcript has 4 exons.